GACGAACGCUGGCGGCGUGCUUAACACAUGCAAGUCGAACGGAAAGGCCCUGCUUUUGUGGGGUGCUCGAGUGGCGAACGGGUGAGUAACACGUGAGUAACCUGCCCUUGACUUUGGGAUAACUUCAGGAAACUGGGGCUCAUACCGGAUAGGAGCUCCUGCUGCAUGGUGGGGGUUGGAAAGUUUCGGCGGUUGGGGAUGGACUCGCGGCUUAUCAGCUUGUUGGUGGGGUAGUGGCUUACCAAGGCUUUGACGGGUAGCCGGCCUGAGAGGGUGACCGGCCACAUUGGGACUGAGAUACGGCCCAGACUCGUACGGGAGGCAGCAGUGGGGAAUAUUGCACAAUGGGCGGAAGCCUGAUGCAGCCACGCCGCGUGCGGGAUGACGGCCUUCGGGUUGUAAACCGCUUUCGCCUGUGACGAAGCGUGAGUGACGGUAAUGGGUAAAGAAGCACCGGCUAACUACGUG
This 468-nucleotide ribosomal RNA is filed under the name uncultured bacterium. Its description in RNAcentral is "partial 16S ribosomal RNA". It matches the Rfam family "Bacterial small subunit ribosomal RNA", at positions 28 to 507 of the family's 1533-position model. The record is from RNAcentral.